UACGUAGGGGGCAAGCGUUGUCCGGAAUCAUUGGGCGUAAAGAGCGUGUAGGCGGCCCGAUAAGUCCGCUGUGAAAGUCCAGGGCUCAACCCUGGGAUGCCGGUGGAUACUGCCGGGCUAGAGUCCGGAAGAGGCGAGUGGAAUUCCGUGGUGUAGCGGUGGAAUGCGCAGAUAUCAGGAGGAACACCAAUGGCGAAGGCAGCUCGCUGGGACGGUACUGACGCUGAGGCGCGAAAGCGUGGGGGGAGCGAACAGG
Molecule: ribosomal RNA, 256 nt
Filed under: uncultured bacterium
Lineage: Bacteria
Description: partial 16S ribosomal RNA
Rfam family: Bacterial small subunit ribosomal RNA
Source: RNAcentral